AAAAAAUUCAGGAUGGUCUUGAAUGUAGUUUUCUAAAGCACCAGAAAGCAAUUAUCUGCCAUACCUCACUUUUUAAAAAAAGCAGAGCCAGAAGGUUACCUGCUGUUAGGGCCAUUCACAGUGGUAUUGUUUCAACUAGCACCCUCCAAUGUGGAUUACAUGAUACCUGUGAACCAGUUCUGAAGGAACCUGCGCAGUGCUGCACCAGCAGGGCCAGGAGGCUGUUGUGGCUGAGACGAGAACAAGG
Molecule: long non-coding RNA, 247 nt
Filed under: Crocodylus porosus (Australian saltwater crocodile)
Lineage: Eukaryota; Metazoa; Chordata; Crocodylia; Crocodylidae
Description: lncRNA (ENSCPRG00005003947.1)
Source: RNAcentral